Molecule: long non-coding RNA, 1381 nt
Organism: Octopus sinensis (East Asian common octopus)
Lineage: Eukaryota; Metazoa; Mollusca; Cephalopoda; Octopoda; Octopodidae
Exons: 2
Source: RefSeq, a predicted model, not a curated record
UGUUUAUAUAUAUAUAUAUAUAUAUAUAUAUAUAUAUAAACAUAUAUAUAUAUUGGCCAUAAUAGCAUUGAUAUUGAUUUGGGUUGAUUGUAUUUGUUUAGAAUGAUGCUGGAGCUUUCUCAGUAAGUUUCAAAUAGUUAGGUACCUUAUAAACUUAGGAAGGUACUGUGUGUAUGUGUGUACACGCCUCUAUUGCUAUAGCAUAACCCAGGUUUCGAUCUAUGAUUCUCUGAACUCUGCUUCAUCUUAGAUGCAUAAAAUACGCAUAGGUACUCAAGCCUGUGCAUACAACUGAAAGUCAGUUACUGAGUCUCUAUCAUUUCCAACAAUGAAUAUCUCAGUUAUUUGAUCAUUUGAAUUAGCAUCUUAAGUGAUUGAGUAUUCCACAGACAUGUGUACCAGCAUUCCAGUAGUUUGGUCAACUGGAUUAUCUACGUAUCAAAUUCUAAGAGGUUUGAUUAUUUCCUUGACACCAGUAUCCUUAGUCUAAUCCCCUGUUUGAAAUACAGGUAGAGGACAUAAUAAACAUGACCGAAUAGUUAAGAAGUUUGUUUCACAAUCAUGAAGUCUCUGGUUCAAUACCAGUAUGUGACAUCUUGGAUGAGUGUCAGGCUUGGAUGGACUCAUGUCUUGCGAAUGAAAUCAAACAAGUGGAAACUGUGUGGAAGUCCGUUGGAUUUACUCUUUAUGCAAAUACACACAGUACAGGCCUGUAUACUGAAUGUUAAUAAUGGCUAGAAAAACCACCCUUUUAUUACCUUGUGCUAGUGAAAAGUCUACUGCUUUUAGACAUAAUUAACAGCAUUGUGGUCUUCUUGGAGUGGUUGGCGUUAGGAAGGGCAUCGAGCUGUAGAAACUCUGCCAGAUCAGAUUGGAGUCUGGUUCGCCAGACCUCAGUCAAAUCGUCCAAACCAUGCUAGCAUGGAAAGCGGACAUUAAAUGAUGAUGAUGAUUAGUGUAUUGAAUGUUUAUUAGCAGUUAUUGUGUAUAGGGGCAGUAACUUUUGUGGUGUGAAUUUAUAUCCAGAUACAAUCCUUCCCGCUUAAUAAACUGAAAAAUUUCAUCUACUGCUGCUCCAGCUGCCUGGGUCAGCAAUGAUGUCAGUUUGGUGAUUGAAAAUUCUAUGGUUUCUAACUUGUCACUUGUACUGUGUCUUUGAUAAAUAUAUUUAACUCCAAAUGGCCUAAGCUGGAGCUGAAUGCAACAAUUUGCCCGAGUUUGGUUAGCUUUUAAGUGUGAGGCUUAAAUUCUAUCAUGAGGAUAGCUCAAAGAAGAAUGGACUGUACAAAGCUGACUUAUUUUGGAUGCAACAUAAGUUGAAAACUUCCUUUGGUAACCCAGUGAUCAAAUCAUUUGGGACAUCUAUCCAUCAUAUUCAUUG